RNAcentral lists this ribosomal RNA (253 nucleotides) under uncultured bacterium. RNAcentral describes it as "partial 16S ribosomal RNA". It matches the Rfam family "Bacterial small subunit ribosomal RNA", at positions 524 to 776 of the family's 1533-position model. The record is from RNAcentral.
CACGUAGGAGACGAGCGUUAUCCGGAUUUACUGGGUGUAAAGCGCGUGCAGGCGGUAUGGUAAGUUGGAUGUGAAAGCUCCUGGCUUAACUGGGAGAGGUCGUACAAGACUGCCAAACUAGAGGACAGCAGAGGGGAGUGGAAUUCCGAGUGUAGCGGUAAAAUGCAUAGAUAUUCGGAAGAACACCAGUGGCGAAGGCGGCUCUCUGGGCUGUACCUGACGCUCAGACGCGAAAGCUAGGGUAGCAAACGGG